Molecule: ribosomal RNA, 258 nt
Filed under: Hydatigera taeniaeformis
Lineage: Eukaryota; Metazoa; Platyhelminthes; Cestoda; Cyclophyllidea; Taeniidae
Description: partial 28S ribosomal RNA
Rfam family: Eukaryotic large subunit ribosomal RNA
Source: RNAcentral
CAAUAAGCGGAGGAGAAGAAACUAACCAGGAUUCCCUCAGUAACGGCGAGUGAAGAGGGAUGAGCCCAGCACCGAAGCCUGCGGCAGGUUUGCUGUUAGGCAAUGUGGUGUGCGGGUCGGCUGGCGGGACCGCCGCUCCACUCGAAGUCCAGCAUUGAGUAUGGUGAUGAUGGAGGUAGAUGAUGGCCCACAGAGGGUGAGAGGCCCGUAGGAGUGGAGUGGUCCAGGCGUGUGAGGCGGUUCACCAGGUCGGCCUAA